GACGAACGCUGGCGGCGUGCUUAACACAUGCAAGUCGAACGGAAAGGCCUCUUUCGGGGUGUCCUCGAGUGGCGAACGGGUGAGUAACACGUGAGUAACCUGCCCUUGACUUUGGGAUAACUUCAGGAAACUGGGUCUAUUACCCGAUAGGAGCUCCUGCUGCAUGGUGGGGGUUGGAAAGUUUCGGCGGUUGGGGGUGGGCUCGCGGCUUAUCAGCUUGUUGGUGGGGUAGUGGGUUACCAAGGCUUUGACGGGUAGCCGGCCUGAGAGGGUGACCGGCCACAGUGGGACUGAGAGAAGGCCGAGGCGGCGAAGGGAGGCAGCAGGGGGGAAUAUUGCACAAUGGGUGGAAGCCGGAUGCAGCAACGCCGUGGGCGGGAUGACGGCCUUCGGGGUGUAAAACGCUUUCGCUCAUGACGAAGCGGUGUGUGACGGUAGUGGGUAAAGAAGCACCGGCUAACUACGUG
RNAcentral lists this ribosomal RNA (467 nucleotides) under uncultured bacterium. Its description in RNAcentral is "partial 16S ribosomal RNA". It matches the Rfam family "Bacterial small subunit ribosomal RNA", at positions 28 to 507 of the family's 1533-position model. The record is from RNAcentral.